RNAcentral lists this ribosomal RNA (467 nucleotides) under uncultured bacterium. RNAcentral's name for it is "partial 16S ribosomal RNA". It matches the Rfam family "Bacterial small subunit ribosomal RNA", at positions 28 to 506 of the family's 1533-position model. The record is from RNAcentral.
GACGAACGCUGGCGGCGUGCUUAACACAUGCAAGUCGAACGGAAAGGCCCUGCUUUUGUGGGGUGCUCGAGUGGCGAACGGGUGAGUAACACGUGAGUAACCUGCCCUUGACUUUGGGAUAACUUCAGGAAACUGGGGCUAAUACCGGAUAGGAGCUCCUGCUGCAUGGUGGGGGUUGGAAAGUUUCGGCGGUUGAGGAUGGACUCGCGGCUUAUCAGCUUGUUGGUGGGGUAGCGGCUUACCCAGGCUUUGACGGGUAGCCGGCCUGGGAGGGUGACCGGCCACAUUGGGACAGGGAUAGGGCCAAGACUGCUACGGGGGGAAGGGGUGGGGAAUAUUGCACAAUGGGCGGAAGGCGGAAGGAGCAACGCCGGGUGCGGGAUGACGGCUUUCGGGUUGUAAACCGCUUUCGCCUGUGACGAAGCGUGAGGGAGGGAACUGGGUAAAGAGGCACGGGCAAACUACGG